Molecule: ribosomal RNA, 490 nt
Filed under: uncultured bacterium
Lineage: Bacteria
Description: partial 16S ribosomal RNA
Rfam family: Bacterial small subunit ribosomal RNA
Source: RNAcentral
AUUGAACGCUGGCGGCAGGCCUAACACAUGCAAGUCGAAUGGUAACAGGAAACAGCUUGCUGUUUCGCUGACGAGUGGCGGACGGGUGAGUAAUGUCUGGGAAACUGCCUGAUGGAGGGGGAUAACUACUGGAAACGGUAGCUAAUACCGCAUAACGUCGCAAGACCAAAGAGGGGGACCUUCGGGCCUCUUGCCAUCAGAUGUGCCCAGAUGGGAUUAGCUAGUAGGUGGGGUAACGGCUCACCUAGGCGACGAUCCCUAGCUGGUCUGAGAGGAUGACCAGCCACCCUGGAACUGAGACACGGUCCAGACUCCUACGGGAGGCAGCAGUGGGGAAUAUUGCACAAUGGGCGAAAGCCUGAUGCAGCCAUGCCGCGUGUAUGAAGAAGGCCUUCGGGUUGUAAAGUACUUUCAGCGGGGAGGAAGGGAGUAAAGUUAAUACCUUUGCUCAUUGACGUUACCCGCAGAAGAAGCACCGGCUAACUCCGUG